GACAUAAAAUAUCCAAGUAUGUGCAGCAGUUUAUACUGAAAUGCUGUAUAUGCGGGUCGUUGCACAAUGACCACGUGAAAACACUGAAGCCAUCAUGGUCCUUGGGGGGAAGCCUUUUAAAGCAGCACUAAAAUCUAAUAACAUUGCAACCAUUACCAUAUCUGAUAACACUCAACAGUAAACCUGUCGGGGGCCCAUUAUUGUACGUUAACUCCAUCAAUGCUUUUCAUCUGUCCAAAUAGAUGUAAGAACUUUUUUUUGCAGAUGGAAUUGAGGAGCACAUCUGUAUAAUCAG
Pelobates cultripes (western spadefoot toad) is the source of this 295-nucleotide non-coding RNA. NCBI's taxonomy places the organism in Eukaryota, Metazoa, Chordata, Amphibia, Anura, Pelobatidae. The record is from the annotation of a GenBank genome assembly.